Long non-coding RNA from Cannabis sativa, 2845 nucleotides. RefSeq lists it as uncharacterized. Lineage: Eukaryota; Viridiplantae; Streptophyta; Magnoliopsida; Rosales; Cannabaceae. The record is from RefSeq and is a predicted model, not a curated record. The transcript has 3 exons.
AAAAGUAAACGGAAGAUUAACUCUGUUAACAUUCUCAAAAUAAAAAUUGAGUUUCUAACGAUUGACCCUCUGUAAUGAAACCCUGCAAUCCGAUUCAUUCGUAACCCUAAGCAUAUGCCAUAGCCCUGAACCCAUGAUCAAAACAUCGGGAGAGUUUCUAUUUUGCUUGAAUGUUGUAACCAAAUCGGUCAAAUUGGAUUCGUACGGAGCCCAUACAAAAUCCAAUUUCAUCCCAAUCUCAUCAACAUAGUCCGAUAAUCAUUGUGCCUCCUAAAGAGAUCGUUUUUCACUGACUCAACAGCUUGGGGUUUCAUUGCCAAACCCAAAAGUGAUAGAGCGAAGAAUCGUGACUGUGAGUCACCAGUGAAUACAACCCAUGACCCGUUUAGGAGAUCCGAAGCGUCGGAUGAAUGAGUUUCCGAAAGUCACAGGCCGAAACGUCGGUGUGGGAGAACCAAGUCCAGGACUUUUCGUAUUGGGAAGUGUUGGGAUGAGUGUGGGCGACAUUCCAAACAACGUCGUGGAGAAGAGAGAAAGAUGAGUGUCGGCUGUCGAAGAUGACGACGGAAGAGACAUGAGUGUUGGAGCUUGCACUUUGCCCAGUAAGUCGCUUGAUUUUUCAGGCUGCAAAUGUUAAGCUCCUUCUUUUCUGUGGUGUCGGUUGCCAAGUGCAAGAGUAAUUUCUUAAACUGCAACAUUAAGAGCUGUGGAGCACCACUUAAAUUUGGAAAAGCUCUAUGUGCUGGGAACUAAUUGUGGUAGUUAUCUUCAGCUGAGAUCCUUAAUUCAGUUACUCUGUAAGAAAUGUGUUAUCUGGUGUUGAUUGGAUUAGCUUAACUAAUUGCUGAAGAUUUAAGUGUCGAUGUUGAAGAAAAUUACAUACUCGAAAACUAUUGCAUUUAAUGAGAAUAUGUUCUAACCAAAAAUUCAAUAUUUUUGCCUGUAAAAUGAGAUGAAUCUUCUUUGGUUCAUACUUAAUCAUGACUUGAAAAAAAUUGAAGAUUUUGGAGUUCUUAAUUGUUUAGCUUAAUUUAAUUUGGAUUUCUCCUCAUUUUGUUUUUUGUUAUUGCAAAUGUUGUCAAAUGUAUUUUUUUAUGUAAAGUUUUCUGCUUUUUCAUUGUUUGACUCUUAUGAUUUUCAGUUGCAGGGUCUAAUUGUUGGUUUGCCCUUGUUAGUUAUUCAAUAUAUACAAUUAAAAUAUCUUAGUAAUAUUUAGAUAGGAGCAUAGUAGUUUAUCUUUAAAAUUAUCAUACUAAUGUUAUCUCAUUGUACUUCUAACUAGCAGGCACGCAUUCAAUUUCAAACUUUUGCCUAAAUUUGCUGGAAAUUUUGGUUUUACUUAGUAUUCUGCUCACUUCAAUGUGUACUUUUUUCUUUUGUUCUUUUCAAAUUUUUAUUACUUAGGUUAACCUCUCUUCUCUCUCACUCUCUCAUAUAGAUCACUAUCAUUGGAUCUCUUAACUUUAGGAUUUUGACCCUUUAAUUUCGAUAGAGUUUAAUUACAGUCAUGAUUUGUUUCAAGUUUAUUAAAGCUAGAGUUAUUGAUAUUUAUGAUUGAACUUGGUUUUUUUUUUCUUGACUUGGAAUAUCAAAAUAAAUUUUUUUGCUCUUUCUAAUUGUUUAAUGAACAAGAAGCUUUGAAAUAAUUCUGAAUUGUUUAUGGGUUUGAAUUUCAUAAUGUAUAAUAAGAUUUAUGUGUGAAUUUUGUUUAUGGUUAAUUAGUAGCCAUUCUACUUUUUCCCAGCUAUUGAAAUAGCCAUUUAUAUAAUUUUGUUUAUAGAAAUUAAUUUCUCUCAUUUUAUGCCUUGCUUACUUUAAUUGAGUAAUUUUUUUCUAUAUUCAAAACAUUAAGGGACUUUAAUUGCUUUUAUCAUGAGUAGAAUAAUAUUUGGUUAUGCUUAAUUGCUUAUCCACUUAUGAGUGCAAAUGCUGGUCUUUUAUACAGAUUUAUUAAUAAUUACAUUAUUAAUUAUUUCAAAAUCGUUUUUGUGUCUCUGGAUUUUGGGUGCUAUGAUUACUGUAUUGGCGAUGAUAACUGUAGAUAACUUUCUUUCUUGGUACGAAAACUUGGGUUCUUCUUAUGUGAGUGUAUCUCCUUCUUUCUUUGGUAGUUAUAUUAUUGAAUUUGGAUUUAUAUUGUUAAGGAUUAUCAUUGUAGAACAAAGUUAACUUGGCAUGUGUAUAUAUUUAUGAUGUGACCAAUAUCUUUAAAUAAUUUGUAUAAUUAUUUGUUUUUGAAAGCAUUUUGUAUUAUUUUUUUUUUAUAUAAUUUGUACAAUGCUAUAAAGAUGUAUUAUUUGUUUUUUUCAAAAAAAGUUGGGUUCAUAAAAUUUUUAACGGAACAAAAUAUAAGAAUGGUGAAAAAACUUAAAAAUAUGAUACAGAGAUAUUGAUAUAAAUAUAUCUUAUCUUUAAUAAAGUAGCAAAGAGGGAAAUUCGAAACCCACAAGAGGAAGAAAAAGCAUGAGUAGUCCAGUGUUCUCCGCAAGAUUAGGUAAUUUUAAAUGACCUUGAUGAGUAGAAUAAUGCUAAGGAUAUCUCAACUUGUGUUUUUAAAUUGAGUAGGUUUUAGCCUUAUAACAUUAAAUUUCUUUUCAUCACAUAAUCGUUAUGAAACUAAUAAUUUUGUUGUAUUUUUUUUCAGCUUCUUGAAAAUUAAAUUUGUAACAAGGUUAGACUAUGCAUCAUGUGAAAAUAUUAAUUUAUUUUGGUUUCAAUUUUCCAUUUUUACAAAUUAAGCAUAUAACUAAGUAUACGUGCAUUGCACGUAACUUCUACCUAGUAUAUAUAUAUAUAUAUACUUAUUUUUCACAAGAAAUAUUUUUUUUUUUUGGUAAAAUUCCUC